AUGCAAAAUAGGAGAAAUUGUAUUUCAAAUAGCUCACGACAGAAGCUUCAACACAUAAUACUUAAUGAGGUGAUGGACCAUUUCUGUAUUCUAGGCAUGAAUUAUACUGGCAGAUGUAACUACAGGAAGUGUCGCUUGAUGUUUGGGGCUGACCAAUGCUAUGAGCUGCUGAAGGCCAGAAACAAGUCUUCUCCUCCACACAAGCAGCUGAGGUCCUUCUCCUGCCUGGCCUUGUAAGUUGGAGUGCGGUGAGCAGCACUCUUCACAGUCUUCUCAGAAGUCCAGUACAGUCAGAAGAAUGGGAAAGGUCUGGUUAAAAAUGAAGAGUUCAAGUGCUGGUGGAGAGCAAAGAGCUUUGUGGAGCUGCUGAGAGGGCUUCCCCUGAAUUUGCAAAUUGGAGAGUCCUCAUCAGUCUCUGGUGAGGAGAGUGCUGGGAUCCCCACCCUGUCAGGCAGGAGAGAUCUGCGCUGGAGCAACUGUCCUGAGCGAUUUAGUAUGACUCUUUUUUCCCAGUUUUUUGGUUGUUACUGAGCUGCAUUGUUUAAAUUUAAUUGUAAGAUUAAGGGUUGAGUGCAAAAUGGAGCUGUUUAGCAAGGGAUGCAACAUGUGCUUUCCUUUUAAUGUAAAAUCACAGAAUUCCAAGUUAUCCAUAAAAUCAAAUCCUGUGGAAAAGCAAUUUUGGAGUGGGAAAUUAAUUUUAACAUUGUGUUAUUUCCACUGUAAUAGAAGAUUAACAAAAAAUACCUUUGGGGGGGGGGGGAGAUUGAGACACUUUUCCUGGAAAUGUCAAUAUAGAGUUUUAUGACAUUGCUAUAACACUUUGGUCUCGAUUGCUUCAAAAUAAAAAUUUGGCAACAUUCUACUUUGUAAGUCUC
RNAcentral lists this long non-coding RNA (875 nucleotides) under Anser cygnoides (Swan goose). RNAcentral describes it as "lncRNA (ENSACDG00005001580.1)". The record is from RNAcentral. Lineage: Eukaryota; Metazoa; Chordata; Aves; Anseriformes; Anatidae.